Molecule: ribosomal RNA, 505 nt
Filed under: uncultured bacterium
Lineage: Bacteria
Description: partial 16S ribosomal RNA
Rfam family: Bacterial small subunit ribosomal RNA
Source: RNAcentral
GACGAACGCUGGCGGCGUGCCUAAUACAUGCAAGUCGAACGCACAGUUUAUACCGUAGCUUGCUACACCAUAGACUGUGAGUUGCGAACGGGUGAGUAACGCGUAGGUAACCUGCCUGGUAGCGGGGGAUAACUAUUGGAAACGAUAGCUAAUACCGCAUAAUAUUAAUUAUUGCAUGAUAAUUAAUUGAAAGGUGCAAUUGCACCACUACCAGAUGGACCUGCGUUGUAUUAGCUAGUAGGUGAGGUAACGGCUCACCUAGGCGACGAUACAUAGCCGACCUGAGAGGGUGAUCGGCCACACUGGGACUGAGACACGGCCCAGACUCCUACGGGAGGCAGCAGUAGGGAAUCUUCGGCAAUGGACGAAAGUCUGACCGAGCAACGCCGCGUGAGUGAAGAAGGGUGUCGGAUCGUAAAGCUCUGUUGUAAGAGAAGAACGGGUGUGAGAGUGGAAAGUUCACACUGUGACGGUAUCUUACCAGAAAGGGACGGCUAACCACGUG